UACGUAGGGGGCUAGCGUUGUCCGGAAUCAUUGGGCGUAAAGCGCGUGUAGGCGGUCCGGUAAGUCCGCUGUGAAAGUCGGGGGCUCAACCCUCGGAUGCCGGUGGAUACUGUCGGGCUUAAGUACGGAAGAGGCGAGUGGAAUUCCUGGUGUAGCGGUGAAAUGCGCAGAUAUCAGGAGGAACACCAAUUGCGAAGGCAGCUCGCUGGGACGUUACUGACGCUGAGACGCGAAAGCGUGGGGAGCAAACAGG
This 253-nucleotide ribosomal RNA is filed under the name uncultured bacterium. RNAcentral describes it as "partial 16S ribosomal RNA". It matches the Rfam family "Bacterial small subunit ribosomal RNA", at positions 524 to 776 of the family's 1533-position model. The record is from RNAcentral.